GCCGUGCCUGGGCCUCGGGCAGCCGUCGUCGCCAUCUUCCCCUGGGGCUUCGCGACCACGCGGGUCACCAGCCUGUAGGACGGACACUCGAGUCCCAUAAUGUGUGCCCUGCAGGAUCUCCCGGACAUGGCAUAACCAACUCACUGUGGCACUAUCCCCCUCGCCUGGCAUCCGAACUACAUACAGAGAUUGAGAUGAGCCUGCUAAAGCCUGGGUGAAUUUUCUGCACAAUGUUUUAUUAGGGUCCUGACGAUACCGCAGUAAGCCCUUUUCAGGAACUGAUUUAACGACUACCCAACAGAAUUUCAGUAAAAUUGGAC
Long non-coding RNA from Gopherus flavomarginatus (Mexican gopher tortoise), 320 nucleotides. RefSeq lists it as uncharacterized. The record is from RefSeq and is a predicted model, not a curated record. NCBI's taxonomy places the organism in Eukaryota, Metazoa, Chordata, Testudines, Testudinidae. The transcript is spliced from 3 exons.